UUCAUGCUUAUAGAGAAGCUACUAGAGGAACUGAGGGAAGCUAAUGGAAAAACUCAAGACUUGGCCAAACAAUAGAGAAGCUAUUGGAAAAGCCGAAGAAUUGCCAAACAAGGGGUAGAGCAUGGAGAGGGCUUCAUUGAAAAAUAAAUAAAAUAUAAAAUAUAAAAACAACAACAACAAUAGAUGAGUCCUUUUGUUGUUUUUUGUUUUUUUAUUAACUGUGCUCUUUCAAAAUAGCCCAUUAUAUUUUCACCGAAUAUAAAUACAAAUAUUCGUUUCUAUGAUGGCGGUGCUAAAAACAUUUUGCACAUUUUUCUUAAUUGUAGUCGUUGGGCGUCACAUCUUACAAGGGAGGAACACCAAUGGAAAUUGUCUUUGAAGGAAAGGCAAUUUUGUAAAGAGGAAAAGAUGAC
RNAcentral lists this long non-coding RNA (413 nucleotides) under Amborella trichopoda. RNAcentral describes it as "long non-coding RNA (ATRI_LNC005276)". The record is from RNAcentral. Lineage: Eukaryota; Viridiplantae; Streptophyta; Magnoliopsida; Amborellales; Amborellaceae.